Molecule: ribosomal RNA, 253 nt
Filed under: uncultured bacterium
Lineage: Bacteria
Description: partial 16S ribosomal RNA
Rfam family: Bacterial small subunit ribosomal RNA
Source: RNAcentral
UACGGGGGGAGCAAGCGUUGUUCGGAUUUACUGGGCGUAAAGGGCGCGUAGGCGGUAGCACAAGUCAGUUGUGAAAUCUCCGGGCUUAACUCGGAAAGGUCAACUGAUACUGUGCGACUAGAGUGCAGAAGGGGCAACUGGAAUUCUCGGUGUAGCGGUGAAAUGCGUAGAGAUCGGAAAGAACACCAACGGCGAAAGCACUCUGCUGGGCCGACACUGACACUGAGAGACGAAAGCUAGGGGAGCGAAUGGG